Molecule: non-coding RNA, 82 nt
Organism: Podarcis lilfordi (Lilford's wall lizard)
Lineage: Eukaryota; Metazoa; Chordata; Lepidosauria; Squamata; Lacertidae
Source: the annotation of a GenBank genome assembly
AGCCCUGUAGCUCAGGGGUAGAGCAUCUGCUUUGCAUGCAGAAGGUACCAGGUUCCAUCCCCAGCAUCUCCAGGUAGGGCGG